UACAGAGGCUGCAAGCGUUAUUCGGAUUCACUGGGCGUAAAGGGUGCGCAGGCGGUUGGGUGUGUCAGAUGUGAAAUCCCGAGGCUCAACCUCGGAACUGCGUCUGAAACUACUCGACUAGAGUACUGGAGAGGGUAACGGAAUUCACGGUGUAGCAGUGAAAUGCGUAGAUAUCGUGAGGAACACCAGAGGCGAAGGCGGUUACCUGGACAGUUACUGACGCUCAGGCACGAAAGCAUGGGGAGCAAAAGGG
Molecule: ribosomal RNA, 253 nt
Filed under: uncultured bacterium
Lineage: Bacteria
Description: partial 16S ribosomal RNA
Rfam family: Bacterial small subunit ribosomal RNA
Source: RNAcentral